RNAcentral lists this transfer RNA (55 nucleotides) under Allium cepa (onion). RNAcentral's name for it is "tRNA-Val". Lineage: Eukaryota; Viridiplantae; Streptophyta; Magnoliopsida; Asparagales; Amaryllidaceae. The record is from RNAcentral.
GUAAGAAAAGGUUAGAGAGAACCGUUGCUUUGACAUAACAAAAGAGAACCUUACA